This 22-nucleotide microRNA is filed under the name Lotus japonicus. RNAcentral's name for it is "lja-miR11137-5p". The record is from miRBase by way of RNAcentral. Lineage: Eukaryota; Viridiplantae; Streptophyta; Magnoliopsida; Fabales; Fabaceae.
UUUUUGGCAUCAUGAUACUGUG